AGGACGAACGCUGGCGGCGUGCUUAACACAUGCAAGUUGAACGGUAUGACAUGGAAGCUUGCUGAAGUGUCAUAUAGUAGCGGACGGGUGAGUAAUGCAUGAGAAGCUGCCAUUGGGAGGGGGACAACAGUUGGAAACGGCUGCUAAUACCCCGUAUGCCGGAAGGUGAAAGGGAGCGAUCCGCCCGAUGAGGUGCUCAUGUCCUAUCAGCUGGUUGGUGGGGUAACGGCCUACCAAGGCGACGACGGGUAGCCGGCCUGAGAGGGUGAACGGCCACACUGGAACUGAGAUACGGUCCAGACUCCUACGGGAGGCAGCAGUGGGGAAUAUUUGGGGCAAUGGGGGCAACCCUGACCCAGCGACGCCGCGUGGGGGAAGACGGCCUUCGGGUUGUAAACCUCUUUUGUACGGGAAGAAGGAAGUGACGGUACUGUACGAAUAAGUCCCGGCUAACUACGUGCCAGCCGCUGC
RNAcentral lists this ribosomal RNA (471 nucleotides) under uncultured bacterium. RNAcentral describes it as "bacterial SSU rRNA". It matches the Rfam family "Bacterial small subunit ribosomal RNA", at positions 26 to 518 of the family's 1533-position model. The record is from RNAcentral.